AGUACAGAGGGUUGCCAAGCCGUAAGGUGGAGCUAAUCCCUUAAAGCUACUCUCAGUUCGGAUUGUAGGCUGAAACUCGCCUACAUGAAGCUGGAGUUACUAGUAAGCGCAGAUCAGAAUGCUGCGGGGAAUGCGUUCCCGGGUCUUGUACACACCGCCCGUCACACCACGGGAGUUGGAGACGCCCGAAGCCGAUUAUCUAACCUUUUGGAAGAAGUCGUCGAAGGUGGAAUC
Molecule: ribosomal RNA, 234 nt
Filed under: Clostridioides difficile
Lineage: Bacteria; Bacillati; Bacillota; Clostridia; Peptostreptococcales; Peptostreptococcaceae
Description: partial 16S ribosomal RNA
Rfam family: Bacterial small subunit ribosomal RNA
Source: RNAcentral